CAGUCUCCACAUUCCCUCCUCCUCCCCCUUGCCUCUUCGCAGAGAAAUCCUGCCACAGAUUUUUUGCAUUUCAUCUGAUUUUUUUAGGCGAAGAAUAUGGUGCUGGGUUCUUGGUUGUUCGUCAGGAUAUAAAGUACUCGUAAAUGGGAACAGGCUCGGAGUCUAAUGGAUGGAGCCGAGCUCGAGGAUUGAGUCAAGACGCUGGUUAUGAUCGGAGGUGCAAUUCUGGUGAAGCGCCUCACCAAGUCUACUACCCGUUGGGACCAUGCUCGAAUUGUAGCUCAAUUACUCAGCGGCGAAAAGUUCUCCAGAGAACAAGCAUCCAGAGAUCCCGAUAAUUACUU
This 344-nucleotide unclassified non-coding RNA is filed under the name Hevea brasiliensis (rubber tree). Lineage: Eukaryota; Viridiplantae; Streptophyta; Magnoliopsida; Malpighiales; Euphorbiaceae. The record is from RNAcentral.